AUGGUCUCGAUGUCCUGACCUCGUGAUCUGCCCGCCUCGGCCUCUCAGAGUGUUGGGAUUACACGCGUGAGCCACCGCACCCGGCCAGAUUUUUAAUUUUUUAGAAAUCUUUGGGAGAGAGUCUCUUUGGAAUUUCCUCAUCUGACCAAGAAAGCUUCUUUCCAAAAGAAAUACAAUUGUCUUAAAUCCUCACCCUAAGUGAUCUCAUCAAAUAACCAGGAAAAAUCAACCACCUGAGAAGAGACUUGGAGUUAUCACCACAUCCAGACAGAGCUUUCAUCUAUUCUUCUAAGAGCAGCGCCAAGAAAUUACUUGAGGAAAUGAAUCUGCAUAAUUAUACACUUGUUCCUGUGCAGCUCUACCCCUCACCUUUUUCUGAUUGAUUUUUUGCAGCAAACCUCCAGAGCAAUAAGGGGAAGGUUUCCCUGGCUGCCAUAUUUUCCAAAUGCAAAGGACCAUGGAAUUUCCUGCCUAAAUAGCUACAGUGUUCACUCGCAUGUGUGAGACUUUUCACUGGACAAAGGAAGCGGGUGGGCAGUCUUUCCCCCACUUCUAACUGCUUAGAGGUGAAGUUGAUAUCAGGAAUUAGACAAAACUGGUAAGAUCCAACCUUGUUGUGACAUGUGAUUAACCUUCCAUCCCAUUUAUUUCCCUCCAUUUUUCCUCUUGCGCUAGGCCCACAAAUAUUACUGAUGGACCUAAUCACCCCAAUCCCGGUGCUCAUUCUUUUAACCUAUACCUAACCCCUUUUCCAUAUAGCAUCCAAACUACAAAUCAGAUCUUAGCGUUUUGCUAUUAUAACAGCCCUUUGGCUUCUCAUUGAACUUACAGGAGUCUUCAAGGUUUAGAAAACCUGGACCUUCACUUUCUACCAUUCUUGUCUUCACUUUCCACCAUUCUUGUCUUCACUUUCCAAGUUCCAGUCACAUAAGCCUCCUCUUUGUACUCAGCCUUUCCUCAGAAGGAUUCUUCCCUCUGCCACAGAUUUCCCCAUAACCGAACUUUCUUGGUCAAGUCAUCCCUCAAAAUUAACCUUUUCAAGAAGGUCUUCCAUAGCCAGUCAAUCUAAGUCAACACUUAACAUCACUUUCACCCCAUCACUCUUUAACUCAUUACUCUGUUUAUAAUAGUAAUUAUUACUAUCUUAAAUUUUGGUAUUUGAGUGUUUGCUUUAUUUUAGUUUUCUUCCUGUUGUAGAAGGUAAUGACUAC
Molecule: long non-coding RNA, 1211 nt
Filed under: Homo sapiens (human)
Lineage: Eukaryota; Metazoa; Chordata; Mammalia; Primates; Hominidae
Description: HSALNT0125354
Source: RNAcentral